Molecule: long non-coding RNA, 3514 nt
Organism: Pteropus alecto (black flying fox)
Lineage: Eukaryota; Metazoa; Chordata; Mammalia; Chiroptera; Pteropodidae
Exons: 3
Source: RefSeq, a predicted model, not a curated record
AGAGAGAGAGAGAGAGGGGGAGAGAGAGAGAGAGAGAGAGAGGAACUAGGUAGAAUGAUGACGGACUAGCUUUUCUGAGAGGAAAAGGGGAGAGAAAAAGGAGACCCUGAACUGAGCAGAGGAUUGUGCCUGAGAAGAACCUACCGAGGCGGCAGAGGAGCCAACUUCGCAUAGGAGAGCUCAGCUUUCAGGCAAAUGGGGAAAAACUGCUUUCAGGUACAGAAUCAAAAGCUGUCUGCGAAGAUGGAGGGGAAAUAUGCUUCAGAUUCUGCCGAAAUAUUGUCAAAAUGCUUCAAAGAGUCCGCGGCAGGAGUGGGGCGGGGGAGCUGUGUCUCCCCAGCUUGCACCCACCCUUUCCACUUUGAGUCUACCAAAUGACAGCCUGGUGCUGGCUCCGGUGACUUGGCCUUGGCUGCAGCCAAGCAGCUGAUGCACAGGAGGCCCUGUUUGCACGACUGGCGAAGUGCACGCGAAAGAAAAAAAAAAGAAGAACAUGUUUAUUUAAGGCAGCUCUGGGAAGAUUUCUAAUUCUCUAAUUUUCAAAAAAAUUUUAACUGAGUAUUUUCAAAAUUUGAUCAGUCCCAGCCCCUUCCUCUACUCCCACCAAAAUAGCUUUUUUUUUUUUUUUUUCUUUCUCGUCAAAGCAUAAACUACAGAGUUACAGUCUCUAGAUUUGGUGUAUCGCUUCUGCCCCCGCCUCCCCCUCCCCGCCCAGUUCUCCGUCCUCUAUUGAAACACCUCUCCCAGGCUAGCGCACUGAGAGCUCACAUUUCCCCCCUUGCUCCGAAUGGUGCGACAAGAGGCUGCAGCCCUGCUCCACUUCCAAUGGUUGUAUUGAUGUUCCUUUCAGCUGAUUCUAUAGCUACUCCCCCUCAGGAAUGUCUCUCCAAUGAAAGGCCAAAAACCGCAGAGAGUGCUGCACCAGUGGAUGCUCAAGCCAGCUCUGAAGUUGAAACAAAGAUCACCUGAAGAUACUUCUCCUGCUCAGCAACACAGCCAAAUGGUGCAGUUUCAGCCCAUAGAAUUCUCAGAACAAGAGGCAAUUUUUUCAAGAAACUAAAAAACUUAAUGACAUCCAAAUUUUUAAUGAGCCAAGGACUUUCCCUUCCUCAUUGUAUUCCUGUUUGUAUUUAAAUUCAGUGUGACAUUCAUUUAAAAAAAUUCUUCCUAGUAUAAAUAUGCUUAUUAAUGUACCAAUUUUUAAAAUAGAAAAUUGUACAAAUGUGUUAAUGUUCUGAGGAACAAAAUUAAUGCUAUAAGUAGAUUGAUUUAACCACACACAGAGUUUGAUCUUAAGAGUGACCUAAAUACUGUAAAGUGUUCUUGAAAUAAUAAAGUAGUCAGAGGCAAACCAAAAGAUAAAAUAAUGGCGGAAAGUCUUAAUGCAGAGUAGUAAUACCACAUUAUCCCACCUGAUACCAACCAAUGAACUGUUCUUUUUAUUAAGCAAGCUAGAUUCUGUGAGAUGUGGUCAGUGCCUCUGAAGAGUUUAAGUCUAGUUAGACAUAGGUACAUAAACCUUUGAAAAAAUAACUAACAAAUUUGGUCAAUAAAUAAGACCAAAACUCAAACAAAACAAAUGAUAUAAACAUGGUAGUUGGGGGAGGUCACCAUAAGCUGGGCAGAACUUGUCUGUUUAGGGAAAAAAUUCCCCUAAGGAAGAAAUUAUAAAUCUUAUAAUCUUAUGAAUCUUAAAGGAUGUUAACGAUUUAGAUAAAUUGCCAUAAAUGGAAAGGAAGGAGGAAAUAGUGUUUUUUUAGAUAGAUGCAGUAUUGUGUGAGCAAGACCAUAGAAGAAGUAAUCUACCUGGCGAGUUUAGGGAAUUACAAAUACACACAUCAAGUUGACUUCACUCCAGACAUUUAAUGCCAAUGUAUAUAUACAUAUAUGGUAAAGACUUUACACAUAUACUUCCCUUCUCCCAUCCCAGAUGCCACCUAGAAUUAUUGUAUUUCCUUGCCAUUAAAGCAAGUGACUGGUAAUAAUAUGAAAACUUAUAAUUUUUCUGUUGACCUAAUAACAAUUGGUACUUAUUGAAUUCUCAUUAUAUAUUAAGCAUUUUCUAUAUUAACUCACUUAAACUGCAAAAUAAGUAUAAUUAUUCCCAUUUUAUAAAUAAAAAAACCUGAAGUUUAGUAAGAUAAGGUAACUUGCCAAAUUGCCAUAAACAGGGUUCACAUUCAGAAUUGCAGUUGUAAAGCUCAUGAUCUAAAGCUGUAAGUCGCAAUAUUGCAAUCAAUGUCACAUAUUAUCACUUCUUCUAUUCAUUUAAUUAUUCCCUCUAAUUUUUCAGUUUUCUGGUUAAAUUACACUUGAAUGCUAGAAUGUAUUUUUGUGAUAGAAAAUUUAAAAUAUUGGGGAAGAGAGCUUAUCAGAAAUUUCGCGGUUUUUGUUUGUUUGUUUGUUUUUUGCCAAGCUGUUGAGAUUCUCUACUUUGGUCUGCUCGAAAUUGCAAAUCCUUGAAAAGAAAAAAAAGAGGAGGUAGGGGAGAUUAAAGGUCAUCUAUUGCAAUGUUCUUUUCUACAAAUAAAAUAAAUCCAUAAAAUUAGAGUGACUUACAGAAGAGCACUUACAGAAGUGUGGCAGAGCUAGGUACAGAAACCAGGCCGUCCAGUCUAAUAUCAGAGGCUCUUCAAUUAUUCCACCCUGCCUAAAUGAAGUAUGAACUUGAAUUUGAUCAAUGAGAACAUUUUAUCUGAUCUGGGAGCAUUGUACCUAGUAGAUUGCUUCAAUUUUGCACCUCUUUGGCUUCCCAUGUUAAUGUGAAAAAUAGCUAGCUAUGAACCAACAUCUUUAGAUACAGAAAUUGUCAGUGUUCCAUCCUCAAAGAACACAUAAUGGUCCAAGUUAUGUGUACAAUGUCCUCAAUGAUAUGCUUACGUUAUUUGGAUUUCUUAGUUCACCUGAACAAAUCAAAACUUAUAAUGGGUAUUUUAUUAACCAUUUUUGUGCACAGUAUAUAUUUAUAAGUGCUUCUGCAUAAAUAUUUAUAUAUGACUGUUUCAGUAGUCCUUAUGUUCUUAAAUAGAUCAAUGAUUAUUUGCUAUUUUAAUCCUCACUUAUCCAUGUAACUAACUCAAGAAUACUUCAGUCUUAAAAAGCUAAAACUGAGGAAAUCUUACUCUUCUUUACCAGCCCCUUUGCAUUCAGUUGGUAUUUAGUAAUGAUUAAUAAAGUAGUUAGCUGGAUAACACAGAGACUCAAAAUGAAGUAUGUCUUGAAGGAAUUAAGCUGAGUCUGCUUAAGGACAAAUAUCUAGAUGUUUGGAAGUAUCUGAAUAUUUGUCUGUUGUAAAUUUGGUAUUGUCAGACUUAGACGUCCUCAUGGCUCAGGUUAUUCUCUUUUCAAAAUGAUUAUUGGCUGUAUCUCAUACAGUUCUCAUUAAAUGAGUUUAUAAAUAAACAGGUUUUUUUAAAGAGUAGCUAAGCACAAAAUGUGACUUUGUUGACAUUUUAUGAGAUUUGUCAUAUGUCCUCUGAACCCUCAAUAAAAGCAAUAUUGCAUCAACUGUGAA